This 1118-nucleotide ribosomal RNA is filed under the name Salmonella enterica subsp. enterica serovar Kentucky str. 29439. RNAcentral describes it as "bacterial LSU rRNA". It matches the Rfam family "Bacterial large subunit ribosomal RNA", at positions 1 to 1058 of the family's 2925-position model. The record is from RNAcentral. Lineage: Bacteria; Pseudomonadati; Pseudomonadota; Gammaproteobacteria; Enterobacterales; Enterobacteriaceae.
GGUUAAGCGACUAAGCGUACACGGUGGAUGCCCUGGCAGUCAGAGGCGAUGAAGGACGUGCUAAUCUGCGAUAAGCGCCGGUAAGGUGAUAUGAACCGUUAUAACCGGCGAUUUCCGAAUGGGGAAACCCAGUGUGACUCGUCACACUAUCAUUAACUGAAUCCAUAGGUUAAUGAGGCGAACCGGGGGAACUGAAACAUCUAAGUACCCCGAGGAAAAGAAAUCAACCGAGAUUCCCCCAGUAGCGGCGAGCGAACGGGGAGGAGCCCAGAGCCUGAAUCAGCAUGUGUGUUAGUGGAAGCGUCUGGAAAGGCGCGCGAUACAGGGUGACAGCCCCGUACACAAAAGCGCAUGUGUUGUGAGCUCGAUGAGUAGGGCGGGACACGUGGUAUCCUGUCUGAAUAUGGGGGGACCAUCCUCCAAGGCUAAAUACUCCUGACUGACCGAUAGUGAACCAGUACCGUGAGGGAAAGGCGAAAAGAACCCCGGCGAGGGGAGUGAAAAAGAACCUGAAACCGUGUACGUACAAGCAGUGGGAGCCCCACCACUAAGCCAGUGGUGAACUCCACAUACGCAUCCUUUGCUGAAGGUGCGGUUAACGGAGCGCAAGCGACGUUCAACCUCAAAAGAAGCAGAGGGGGCUUAGUGGUGGGGUGACUGCGUACCUUUUGUAUAAUGGGUCAGCGACUUAUAUUCUGUAGCAAGGUUAACCGCAUAGGGGAGCCGGAGGGAAACCGAGUCUUAAUUGGGCGUUAAGUUGCAGGGUAUAGACCCGAAACCCGGUGAUCUAGCCAUGGGCAGGUUGAAGGUUGGGUAACACUAACUGGAGGACCGAACCGACUAAUGUUGAAAAAUUAGCGGAUGACCUGUGGCUGGGGGUGAAAGGCCAAUCAAACCGGGAGAUAGCUGGUUCUCCCCGAAAGCUAUUUAGGUAGCGCCUCGUGAAUUCAUCUCCGGGGGUAGAGCACUGUUUCGGCUAGGGGGCCAUCCCGGCUUACCAACCCGAUGCAAACUGCGAAUACCGGAGAAUGUUAUCACGGGAGACACACGGCGGGUGCUAACGUCCGUCGUGAAGAGGGAAACAACCCAGACCGCCAGCUAAGGUCCCCAAAGUCAUG